RNAcentral lists this ribosomal RNA (1355 nucleotides) under metagenome. RNAcentral describes it as "bacterial SSU rRNA". It matches the Rfam family "Bacterial small subunit ribosomal RNA". The record is from RNAcentral.
AGAGUUUGAUCCUGGCUCAGAACGAACGCUGGCGGCAGGCCUAACACAUGCAAGUCGAGCGCUCACUUCGGUGGGAGCGGCGAACGGGUUAGUAACGCGUGGGAACAUACCCUUCUCUAAGGAAUAGCCACUGGAAACGGUGAGUAAUACCUUAUACGCCCUUCGGGGGAAAGAUUUAUCGGAGAAGGAUUGGCCCGCGUUAGAUUAGAUAGUUGGUGGAGUAAUGGCCUACCAAGUCUACGAUCUAUAGCUGGUUUUAGAGGAUGAUCAGCAACGCUGGGACUGAGACACGGCCCAGACUCCUACGGGAGGCAGCAGUGGGGUAUAUUGCACAAUGGAGGAAACUCUGAUGCAGCAACGCCGCGCGGAGGUUGACGCAUUUCGGUGUGUAAACUCCUUUUAUAUGGGAAGAUAAUGACGGUACCAUAUGAAUAAGCACCGGCUAACUCCGUGCCAGCAGCCGCGGUAAUACGGAGGGUGCAAGCGUUACUCGGAAUCACUGGGCGUAAAGCGCGCGCAGGCGGCCUUUUAAGUUGGAUGUGAAAGCCUACGGCUCAACCGUAGAACUGCAUCCAAAACUAUCAGGCUAGAGUGUGGGAGAGGAAGAUGGAAUUAGUUGUGUAGGGGUAAAAUCCGUAGAGAUAACUAGGAAUACCAAAAGCGAAGGCAAUCUUCUGGAACAUUACUGACGCUGAGGCGCGAAAGCGUGGGGAGCAAACAGGAUUAGAUACCCUGGUAGUCCACGCCCUAAACGAUGAAUGUUAGUCGUCGGGUAGCUAGUCUAUUCGGUGAUGCAGCUAACGCAUUAAACAUUCCGCCUGGGGAGUACGGUCGCAAGAUUAAAACUCAAAGGAAUAGACGGGGACCCGCACAAGUGGUGGAGCAUGUGGUUUAAUUCGAAAAUACGCGAAGAACCUUACCUAGCCUUGACAUAUAUUAGAACACCCUAGAGAUAGAGUGGUGCCUUCGGGAGCUUUUAUACAGGUGCUGCACGGCUGUCGUCAGCUCGUGUCGUGAGAUGUUGGGUUAAGUCCCGCAACGAGCGCAACCCUCGUCACUAGUUACUAACGGUUCGGCCGAGGACUCUAGUGAGACUGCCUUCGUAAGGAGGAGGAAGGUGAGGACGACGUCAAGUCAUCAUGGCCCUUACGGCUAGGGCAACACACGUGCUACAAUGGCCAGGACAGUGAGACGCGAUACCGCGAGGUGGAGCAAAUCUAUAAACCUGGUCUCAGUUCGGAUUGUAGUCUGCAACUCGACUACAUGAAGCUGGAAUCACUAGUAAUCGUAGAUCAGCUAUGCUACGGUGAAUACGUUCCCGGGUCUUGUACUCACCGCCCGUCACGCCAUGGGAG